CGGGCAUGGAACAACUGCUUCAAUAUCUCAUAUCGAGUAGUUCGAUUUUGUUCCCUAUAUAACUCCUUAAGAUUAAGGAGAAUAUAGGGAAUGUCCAUGUCCUCAUGCUGCUUUUGGGGCUCGUUACUCAUAGAGGCAAGCAUGAUGUAUUUGAUAGUCACACUGUCAUCUUUUCACAUUUUAUAUGCGGCUCUAUCUUCUGUGAAAGCAUCUUCCCCAAGAGAUCUGAAGCAGGU
This 236-nucleotide long non-coding RNA is filed under the name Elaeis guineensis (African oil palm). RNAcentral's name for it is "long non-coding RNA (EGUI_LNC022797)". The record is from RNAcentral. Lineage: Eukaryota; Viridiplantae; Streptophyta; Magnoliopsida; Arecales; Arecaceae.